UUUUCCGUGAUGUAGUGGUUGUCAUAUGCGCCUAACACGCAGAAGGUCGUCGCUUCGAUCCCGGUUGGAAACA
Non-coding RNA from Dryococelus australis, 73 nucleotides. The record is from the annotation of a GenBank genome assembly. NCBI's taxonomy places the organism in Eukaryota, Metazoa, Arthropoda, Insecta, Phasmatodea, Phasmatidae.